Cyprinus carpio carpio is the source of this 648-nucleotide long non-coding RNA. Lineage: Eukaryota; Metazoa; Chordata; Actinopteri; Cypriniformes; Cyprinidae. The record is from Ensembl.
GAAAUAUAGCACAAAGGCCAAAUGGAUGGUGCUUUAUUAUACUGAGUAUGGCAAAAAUCUCUUUUUUAGGUGAACAAUAGCACUGGAUUAUAACUCUGCACAGGUCUCAUGAUUCACGCUGAAACUCUGACACUAAUGACUGCAUUACUGCGGAUGGUGUGGGUGUUUCAGAACGGCUCCUGCUUUCAAUCGGUGUCUGAGGAUGCUGGAGACGCUGUGGGAGGGUGAAACUUUGGACUGCUUGUAAUUAUGACAAAUAAAAAGAGAGAAAAAGUUUUCAAAUAUGUCUCUCUUUAACCCUCUCCAACUUUCUAGUCUUUCUGUAUUUUUUCAUUUGAUCCACAUUACUUAAUUUCUUUCUCCAGGCAUAGCACAGACUCUGUCACGACAAACCUCCAGUGCAAAUAAAGUCAAAAUUACAUCAGGCAACAUUUCUACAAAUGCAACACACCUAAAAGAUAGAAACCUCUAAGGACAGAGGUGUUUUCAACCCAUAUUACGUUCCAAAAGAUCCACAAUCCUGAGGCAUUGUGGCAAUCAUUACAACAUCAGCCUCAGCCUUCCUUUGAAUACACAUAAUCAGUUCUGCGGAAUGAUCAAAAGCAGAAACAUGAAAGAAUUUCACAUUUUAUGAAAGCAAAGAUUAAA